RNAcentral lists this long non-coding RNA (1162 nucleotides) under Numida meleagris (helmeted guineafowl). Its description in RNAcentral is "lncRNA (ENSNMEG00000002452.1)". Lineage: Eukaryota; Metazoa; Chordata; Aves; Galliformes; Numididae. The record is from RNAcentral.
CCCCAAAUUCCAUCUCUGUGCCCCAAUUUCUCCCAGUCUCACCCCAAAUCCCAUUCACAUGCCUCAGUUUCCCCAAAUUUCACCCCCCAUCCUCACUCUGUGCCUCAGUUUCCCCAAACCCAAUCCCAAAUCCCACUCCCGUGCUUCAGUUUCCCCCAAUCUGACCCCAAAUCCCAUUCCUGUGCCUCAGUGUCCCCAAAUCUGACCCCAAAUCCCAUUCCUGAGCCCCAAUUUCCCCCAAUCUUACCCCAAAUCCCAUCUCUGUGCCCCAAUUUCUCCCAGUCUCACCCCAUAUCCCACCCCCGUGCCUCAGUUUCCCCAAAUCUGACCCCAAAUUCCAUCUCUGUGCCUGUUUCUCCCAGUCUCACCCCAUAUCCCAUUCACGUGCCUCAGUUUCCCCCAGUCUCACCCCAAAUCCCACCCCCGUGCCUCAGUUUCCCCAAAUUUCCCCCCUCUGUGCCUCAUUUCCCCCCAUUCUCACCCCAAAUCCCCCCUCUGGGCUUCAGUUUCCCCAAACCCAAUCCCAAAACCCAUUCCUGUGCCUGUGUCCCCCAAUCUGACCCCAAAUCCCAUUCCUGAGCCCCAAUUUGCCCCAAUCUGACCCCAAAUCCCAUCUCUGUGCCCAAUUUCUCCCAGUCUCACCCCAAAUCCCACUCCCGUGCCUCAGUUUCCCCAAAUCUGACCCCAAAUUCCAUCUCUGUGCCUCUGUUUUUCCCCAGUUUCACCCCAAAUCCCAUUCCUGAGCCCCAGUUUGCCCCAAUCUUACCCUAAAUCCCAUCUCUGCAACCCAGUUUCUCCCAGUCUCACCCCAAAUCCCAUUCACGUGCCCCAGUUUCCCCCAAUCCAACCCCAAAUCCCCUCUCUGUGCCUCAGUUUCCCCAAAUCCCACUCCUGCGGCCCAACGUCCCUCAGUCUCACCCCAAAUCCCACUCCUGUGCCUAAAUUACCCCCAAUUUCACCCCAAAUCCCAUUUGUGAGCCCCAGUUUCCCCAAUCUUGACCCCAAAUCCCACUCCCGUGCCUCAGUUUCCCCCUAUCUGACCCCAUAUCCCAUUCCUGAGCCCCAGUUUCCCCAAUCCUGACCCCAAAUCCCCCUCCUGUUUCUCAAUUUCUCCCAGUCUCACUCAAAAUCCCAUUCUCACGCCCCAGUUUCCCCCCAUCCA